GAUGUUUCUUGCUUGUCCUUUUGUAGGAAGAUCCACAGCUAUUAUCACUUAACCAGCAGACCUGAUUUCAUCUCAGAUACUGGAAGUCCUUUAACUCCAGGCAAGGAGUGGGCGGACUAAAAUUGCUAUUACACUAAGCCUGGCAAACGAAAUGGGUCUCUUUCUUCUCCCACAUUCAGUAGCAACUCAGCUGACAUCAACUUGGUUGCCUGUGAUUUACAACAGUGUGGGAGGAUAACAGAGCCCGUGUGUUUAAUAGGCUCUAGGUGCAGGUGGCCAGUCCUAUGUGAGGGGCUGGAUCUGAGACUUGCAAAGUAGCGCUGAUGAGCCACAGACCAGACAGCCUUUGGUAAUGAUGUUCCUGGAGGAGCAGAGUGCUGGGUCCUGGGAAGCAGGAGGAUGGGGUAUCAGUGACUGCUUAGGUUUCCCUACCUUCAGGAGAAGGACCCACCUACCUUGUGCUACUACUCAGUGGUAUUCACAUGGAGAACAUGAUGACUCUGUUUUGAGCUGGACCUUGUGAAAGCAGCGUGAAGACCAAGGCAAAAGGAGGCCACUAGAUCCUAGAGCCAUGGAGCUUCCCAGUUACAGCAAGCAGUUGCUGCAGCAGCUGUGCACCAUGCCAGGAGCAGCAGUUCUGCGAUUGCACCGUCUUCAUUGGGACUGUUCAUUUGAGAGCACACAAGAUUGUUUUGGCUGCUGCCAGUCUGCUUUUUAAAUCCUUGUUGGAUAGCACAGGCACCAUCUCCAUUGAUGCUUCUGUGGUGACACCUGAGGAGUUUGCGCUGUUGCUGGAGAUGAUGUACAUUGGCAAACUCCCGAUGGGGAAACACAACUUCAGCAAAGUCAU
This 850-nucleotide long non-coding RNA is filed under the name Anas platyrhynchos platyrhynchos (common mallard). RNAcentral's name for it is "lncRNA (ENSAPLG00000022957.1)". Lineage: Eukaryota; Metazoa; Chordata; Aves; Anseriformes; Anatidae. The record is from RNAcentral.